UACGUAGGGUGCAAGCGUUGUCCGGAAUUAUUGGGCGUAAAGAGCUCGUAGGCGGUCUGUCGCGUCUGCUGUGAAAACUCAGGGCUUAACCCUGAGCUUGCAGUGGGUACGGGCAGACUAGAGUGCGGUAGGGGAGACUGGAAUUCCUGGUGUAGCGGUGAAAUGCGCAGAUAUCAGGAGGAACACCGGUGGCGAAGGCGGAUCUCUGGGCCAUUACUGACGCUGAGGAGCGAAAGCGUGGGGAGCAAACAGG
Molecule: ribosomal RNA, 253 nt
Filed under: uncultured bacterium
Lineage: Bacteria
Description: partial 16S ribosomal RNA
Rfam family: Bacterial small subunit ribosomal RNA
Source: RNAcentral